CAGAGACACUGCAGGAGAGGAGAGUGCACAGUUGGAAAGUAAAAUUGAAAUGUGGUAUUAAGGAGAGCAGCACAUUGAGAUUCCUCUGCGACUGGAUAAAAAUGCUUCUCCUUUCCUUUGUAUUACUGAUGAAAACUGGAGAACACAUGCUUAGAGUACCAUCCAUAAGAUGCACUGCAACAGCUUACCCAGGCUCCUUUGGAAACACUUUCCAAAACUGCAACGACCUGGAAGGACAAAGGCAGAAGAUGCAUUGGAAAAACACCAACUGCAGAUUCUCAUUGCAGCUACACACCACCCUGACUUGGGAGGAAUUCUGGAACCCACUUACCAGCAGCACUGUGGGUGUAAAUUGAGUCCAAGAACUGCAGCAUUUCAAAAUGUUUGCUCACCACCAC
Chiloscyllium plagiosum (whitespotted bambooshark) is the source of this 398-nucleotide non-coding RNA. The record is from RefSeq and is a predicted model, not a curated record. Lineage: Eukaryota; Metazoa; Chordata; Chondrichthyes; Orectolobiformes; Hemiscylliidae.